Molecule: ribosomal RNA, 468 nt
Filed under: uncultured bacterium
Lineage: Bacteria
Description: partial 16S ribosomal RNA
Rfam family: Bacterial small subunit ribosomal RNA
Source: RNAcentral
GACGAACGCUGGCGGCGUGCUUAACACAUGCAAGUCGAACGGAAAGGCCCUGCUUUUGUGGGGUGCUCGAGUGGCGAACGGGUGAGUAACACGUGAGUAACCUGCCCUUGACUUUGGGAUAACUCCAGGAAACUGGGGCUAAUACCGGAUAGGAGCUCCUGCUGCAUGGUGGGGGUUGGAAAGUUUCGGCGGUUGGGGAUGGACUCGCGGCUUAUCAGCUUGUUGGUGGGGUAGUGGCUUACCAAGGCUUUGACGGGUAGCCGGCCUGAGAGGGUGACCGGCCACAUUGGGACUGAGAUACGGCCCAGACUCCUACGGGAGACAGCAGUGGGGAAUAUUGCACAAUGGGCGGAAGCCUGAUGCAGCAACGCCGCGUGCGGGAUGACGGCCUUCGGGUUGUAAACCGCUUUCGCCUGUGACGAAGCGUGAGUGACGGUAAUGGGUAAAGAAGCACCGGCUAACUACGUG